GUUAGUGGCGGACGGGUGAGUAACGCGUGAGAAUCUGCCCUCAGGAGGGGGAUAACGGCUGGAAACGGCCGCUAAUACCCCAUAUGCCGAGAGGUGAAAUGAAAUUCGCCUGAGGAUGAGCUCGCGUCUGAUUAGCUAGUUGGUAGGGUAAAGGCCUACCAAGGCGACGAUCAGUAGCUGGUCUGAGAGGAUGAUCAGCCACACUGGGACUGAGACACGGCCCAGACUCCUACGGGAGGCAGCAGUGGGGAAUUUUCCGCAAUGGGCGAAAGCCUGACGGAGCAACGCCGCGUGAGGGAUGAAGGCCUCUGGGCUGUAAACCUCUUUUAUCAAGGAAGAAGAUCUGACGGUACUUGAUGAAUAAGCCACGGCUAAUUCCGUGCCAGCAGCCGCGGUAAUACGGGAGUGGCAAGCGUUAUCCGGAAUUAUUGGGCGUAAAGCGUCCGCAGGCGGUCUUACAAGUCUGUCGUUAAAGCGUGGAGCUUAACUCCAUUUCAGCGAUGGAAACUGUAAGACUAGAGUGUGGUAGGGGCAGAGGGAAUUCCCGGUGUAGCGGUGAAAUGCGUAGAUAUCGGGAAGAACACCAGUGGCGAAGGCGCUCUGCUGGGCCAUAACUGACGCUCAUGGACGAAAGCCAGGGGAGCGAAAGGGAUUAGAUACCCCUGUAGUCCUGGCCGUAAACGAUGAACACUAGGUGUCGGGGGAAUCGACCCCCUCGGUGUCGUAGCCAACGCGUUAAGUGUUCCGCCUGGGGAGUACGCACGCAAGUGUGAAACUCAAAGGAAUUGACGGGGGCCCGCACAAGCGGUGGAGUAUGUGGUUUAAUUCGAUGCAACGCGAAGAACCUUACCAGGGUUUGACAUCCUGCGAAUCCCUUGGAAGCGAGGGAGUGCCUUCGGGAACGCAGUGACAGGUGGUGCAUGGCUGUCGUCAGCUCGUGUCGUGAGAUGUUGGGUUAAGUCCCGCAACGAGCGCAACCCACGUCUUUAGUUGCCAGCAUUUAGUUGGGCACUCUAGAGAGACUGCCGGUGAUAAACCGGAGGAAGGUGUGGAUGACGUCAAGUCAUCAUGCCCCUUACAUCCUGGGCUACACACGUACUACAAUGCUACGGACAAAGGGCAGCAAACUCGCGAGAGCUAGCCAAUCCCAUAAACCGUGGCUCAGUUCAGAUCGUAGGCUGCAACUCGCCUACGUGAAGGAGGAAUCGCUAGUAAUCGCAGGUCAGCAUACUGCGGUGAAUACGUUCCCGGGCCUUGUACACACCGCCCGUCACACCAUGGAAGUUGGCCACGCCCGAAGUCGUUACUCCAACCCUUGUGGAGGAGGAUGCCGAAGGUGGGGCUGAUGACUGGGGUGAAGUCGUAACAAGGUAGCCGUACCGGAAGGUGC
This 1390-nucleotide ribosomal RNA is filed under the name uncultured Synechococcus sp. Its description in RNAcentral is "bacterial SSU rRNA". It matches the Rfam family "Bacterial small subunit ribosomal RNA". The record is from RNAcentral. Lineage: Bacteria; Bacillati; Cyanobacteriota; Cyanophyceae; Synechococcales; Synechococcaceae.